GUUGACAUAGUUUAAUAAAAACAUUAGGUUGUGGACCUAACAACAGAAG
This 49-nucleotide transfer RNA is filed under the name Sphenomorphus melanopogon. RNAcentral describes it as "partial tRNA-His". The record is from RNAcentral. Lineage: Eukaryota; Metazoa; Chordata; Lepidosauria; Squamata; Scincidae.